Molecule: long non-coding RNA, 1001 nt
Filed under: Nicotiana tabacum (common tobacco)
Lineage: Eukaryota; Viridiplantae; Streptophyta; Magnoliopsida; Solanales; Solanaceae
Description: long non-coding RNA (NTAB_LNC005282)
Source: RNAcentral
AUUUUUUUACCCUAAUCUCUCGCGCAAAAGGGGAGCUAAGGCAAAAAAGAGAUCAGAUCAUAAGACCCUCGUAUCCCUUGGGAGAAAAACGGCGCAACACUCAGGCCCCUCCCUUCUUCUUUCUUCUUCUUCAUUUUUCCAAAGAUACACACAGAUAUCCCCUCAAAAAACGAAAAAGCAGCCUUUCCUUCAUGAUAUCCAAAAUUAGAUACCCUUCCCAUUAGAGACCAGGCGUCGUUUCCUUGAAAAAACAGAGAGAGAACAGAACUCCAUCUCCAACACCUUCAGUUGCCUCAACAGCCGUCUCCCUCGUUUUCUGCUUCGCUUCUGUCGUCGGCGAACUCACCAGAAACAUAAGAGUUGCGGUGCACUCCCCCUUCCAUCUCUCACCUUCUCACGAAUUUUCUAAGUUCAAAAGGGAUUCUCAAAUCUGAAAAUUUCAAAAAAAAAAAAGAAGAAGAAGCUGUGGUUGAAAAAUUAUUGCUGCUCUUUGUUCGGAUCUGCCGGUCUGCUGUCAGAGGUGUGUUUAGCCAUUUUGUUCAGUUUUAUUUGAAUUAUAAUUAAAAAAUGGAUUUGUUGGGUUUUACUUAUGCAGUGCUUCUGUUAGUUUUCAGGAGAAAAUUUUAAUUUCCUUAUGAGCUGACUCUGCCCAAAUCCAUAGACUCGUUAUGUGUAUUUUUGACUUGUAUUCACUUUCUCUGUUAAGUUCUGGAAUUAUUAUUUUAGAUUUGUUCUGAUUUUGGAUUUAACAUGUCUAAGUAUAAAUUUGUCCGAAAUUCUUUUCUUGUUUAAUCUUUGAAAUUAUUGGAAUGUUAAAAUCAGGUAUUUGGUCGGUUGAAACUCAAAACGAGUAACUUGGUAUCUACUUUCUUUUCUUAAAGAUUGUUAUUGCACUUAGGGAGGAUGUUAGCUGAUUUCCACACGGUAGUCAUAUGUUCUUUUGUCAAGUGUUUGAACAAAAAUAGCGUUGAAUGAAAAUGUUCUCUUCUUCAAAGUCGCCC